GUGUCCCCUCGUGGGCCGAACGGACGCGGCGGUGCCCCGCGCCCGACCAGACGUCCCGUGGGCUAGGGCCUGGGCCUCGGGCCGCGUCGGCGCCGGUCGAGCCUCUCCGGGUGUCGGGGUUCGGGGCGGGCGCGCGUGGGCGUGGCUCCUCUGUCCACGCCUGUUCCCUUCGUCGCCGCGGCUCUCGUCCGGGACACGGCUUUCCGGAGUAGAGCCCUUGGAGGUGUUAAGUGUGAUGCUUCCAUAAUACAUUUGGAUGCUGUCAGCUAAGUUCACUUCUGAACUAAGGGGUUCCUCCAAAUGUUGGCUGAAAUUCAUCCCAAGGCUGGUCUGCAAAGUCUGCAAUUCAUAAUGGAGCUACUGUACUGGCUAUUGGAAGGAGGAGAUUCUGAAGAUAAGGAGUUCUCUUGUAGGAUGCCACUGGAAAUGUUGAAAUGAAAAAUAUUCAGCCGUUGGUCUUUGAAAUUUCCUGUGAUGUGUUUCAAUCUAGAUGCAAAGAACAUGGAAAAAUCAAAGUGCUCGAGUGGUUUAAAUAUGUUUUGGGUAUUCCUGUUUAUAGACUAUAAUACUUUUCCAAUUAAAAUCCU
Molecule: long non-coding RNA, 587 nt
Filed under: Homo sapiens (human)
Lineage: Eukaryota; Metazoa; Chordata; Mammalia; Primates; Hominidae
Description: non-protein coding lnc-IRX3-80:39
Source: RNAcentral